Molecule: long non-coding RNA, 2712 nt
Organism: Apodemus sylvaticus (European woodmouse)
Lineage: Eukaryota; Metazoa; Chordata; Mammalia; Rodentia; Muridae
Exons: 3
Source: RefSeq, a predicted model, not a curated record
GCUGCUGCUGCUGGGGUGGGGAGUUGUUGGGUGCUGGAGAAAACAGAACAGAGGAUUUGAUCAGUUCUGUUUUCCUGCAACCUUUCAGGAGUUACAGGUCUAUUGCAGGGUGGAGACCUUGCAAUCUGCAGUGAAUCCUGCGAACUAAAUGCCACCUCCUCUCCAUGCUGAUUUAAAUCCCACUCACCCUGAAAGUCCUCUCUUGGUGUCUCCUACGUAUACUGUCAUUCCCCUUUUGUGAAUCCCAUGGCGUGUGUCAACAGACCAACACUCUGGAAUGCUGUGAUCUAUGGUGUCAUUCCAGGAGGACUUCCUGUGCUACCAUGACCACUCUCCACAGACGGCAAGCCAUCUGGGACAAAAAUGUCCCUAGCUUUUGCUUUUCUCCCCCACUCUGCACCCUGGCAUGGACUAGUAGAGGAAACUGCUGUAUAGACAACAGGAAAACUGAUGUAGGCAGCUGAAGAGUUGAGAAGGAGAAGAUCUCUUAUGCUUUUGGUUGUGAGCCUCGCCUUUGAGUGUGCACCAUCUACCCCGCCCAAGGACAUAUCGCUGCCUCUCAAGCAGUGCCAAAGUAGAGGGUGAAGAGAGACAUCUAGAAAACUCCAGAUGAGUGAAUGAAUGAAUGAAUGAAUGAAUGAAAGUUUAAAUAAUUCACCAAUGAACUAAAGGUGACAUUUAUGAGCAAGGUGAGUCCACACUCAAAUUCUAAAUUAGGGACAAGGUAAGAGUGGACAAGGCACUGCUUUGUUAAUUUGCUUCUGUUGAAAUGCCUGUCGCCAUCUACAAAGCCUCUGCAAUUGCCGAGAGGGCCCCGGAGCUUUAGAGUCGGGGACUGUGGGCAUCACCUGAGCCAAACUAAGCUCCUGUCAAAGAAGAGGUGACAUUUGUAGGGGAAGAUCGCUUGUCCACAUCUGCAGGCUGGGUCCUAGUCAGAAGCCUCCCCAUGCGUCUGUCAAACGAUCUUCUGUCCAAGGACUAAGCUUUCAAAUCUAUUGAUUGAAAAAAAAGUCACCAUUUUCUUUCUCUGAAAAGUGUGGACUUUCAGUGUGAAAUCAGAAAGAUAUGGAAGUACAUGGAGAAAUAAAAAAAUGAUGUAAGCUACCAGCCACCCAGGAACACCGGCUGAGGAUAUGGGAUGUGUUUGUUCUCAAGGUGUUUCCUGUGUGUACCUAUCAGGGAGGCUGCGCUCAGCCCUGGCUCAGGCACAGAAAAGGCAUUCAGUUCCUGCCUGUUAAAUAAGUAUAUCCAACAUGCAAGUGGCUAUUUACAUAUGUUACAUAUGCAAAUGACAAUGUUAUUUCAUUUUAAUUUGGGGGGUAGUGUGAAGAAUAAUUUAUUAACAAUGACUCUCCCCCUUUGUCUUCAAGUCACCAGGACAUGCUCCCCUCACCACCAGGACCCUCUGGGGAUACCCUGAAGUCUUUUCAGCCCUUUUUUGAAGAAUUUGACCUUCACCGUGACAGUCUGCUUAGAAAACUUUCCUUUUCUAGAACUUUGCAAUAUCCUCAGAAGACAAAAGGGUUUACAACCUACUUCGGAUAACUCCACAGUGGGUGUGGGUGUGAGAAAAGAGGCCAGCUAAUCCAUGAAGUAUAGUGUCCAUGCAGGGAAUGCUUCUGAUGCAGCCACUACCCAGCCCCAGAGAAUCAAGAGGCAUAGUUUCCCUCUAAGAAUACCAGCACAGCAGCACAAGUGUAGUCAGGAGGUUAAAGUUGUUUUUAAUUAGAAGGCACACCAUUAUAGCUUCCUUAAUAUUUUUUUUCUACUUAAUGUUGUCUCUGUUUUCCCAUGUCACCAAAUACCAUCCUAAAACAUAAUAUUCAAUAGCUAUCCGUGGUAUGACUAGACCAUAGUUUAUUUACACAACUCCAGUGUAUGCUAGUUUUAAAAUGACUGUGAGUUAAAAACAAUGCUAUGCUAAUUGCUUGGACAUAACUUUCAGUGAGAAUCAACCUGUGUAUAAAUUGGGCUUUUGCCGGGCGGUGGUGGCGCACACCUGUAAUCCCAGCACUCUGGGAGGCAGAGGCAGGCAGAUUUCUGAGUUCGAGGCCAGCCUGGUCUGCAAAGUGAGUUCCAGGACAGCCAAAGCUAAACAGAGAAACUCUGUCUCAACAAAACCAAAUCCAAAAAUAAAUAAAUAAAUAAAUAAAUAAAUAAAAUAAAUUGGGCCUUUAUAUUCAGUAGGAGGAAAGUUGGAAUUAAAACAGCAGAGCCCAUCAUCUAGGGUCACAGCGAGAGUGACACUCAGCUGGGAAUCAGACACAGACUCAACUCUUGUACAAAUCAUGAGCCUCAGUCAAACCCAUCCACCUCUGUACUGCAGGCCUCUCCAGUGAGUUCUUUGUCUCAGUGACUUCUUACAUGAAAACUAAUCGUGCUAUCGGAGGCAGAUAAGGAAUUCAGACACAAAGGGCGCUCCAGGAUGGAUUUCAUAAGCCUCCCUCACUAGCCAAAGAGUCUUUCCCUUCUCUCCUUGGAAAAGUUCAAUGCACCUCUUCCACCAGGGCGAGGAGUUAAAUUCCAGGAAAAUGCAACCCAAGUACAAUAUAAGCUUCUUAAAUGCUGGGUCUUGACACCCACUGAAUUUGGUGGGAGGGGCCACGGAGAAAGCUUUUUGAAUUCGUUAAUAACCAAAAAUUAAUUCAGAAUUCCUCUGUGUUAAUCUGGAACUCACUGGAAAUCACGCGCGCGCGUGCGCACGCGCACGCG